CACAAAUUCACUCAAGAUCAAGGAGUGCAGCAAGGAAACGGGAGGAGCAAGAAGGCGAGGAGAGGCAGCGGCGAAAUGGGGGAACAGCCGCGAACCGAGAGGAUUCACUGACUGAGGUUGAACGUCAAGAGGAUGGAGUGAUGAUCGGAGUCGAUGUUGUUAAACAGUCAAGUUGAUCUCCCAACGGUUUGUAUCUUUAUACACGAAGUCGUUUAGAAAGGACUUAUUCCGCUGCUCUUUUUGUGAUGUGAAAAUUGUAGAAUCUCACCACCAACUCUGAUAUAUUAGAGGAGAUGUUCAUUCUAUUUUCAAGACCAUGUAAUGAAAUACUUGGCUUCUAUGAUAUCAAUUGACUUGGUCUUUGUGCAAA
Long non-coding RNA from Salvia hispanica, 370 nucleotides. RefSeq lists it as uncharacterized. NCBI's taxonomy places the organism in Eukaryota, Viridiplantae, Streptophyta, Magnoliopsida, Lamiales, Lamiaceae. The record is from RefSeq and is a predicted model, not a curated record.